AUCGGUCACGUGGCGUCGGUGCUUCGAACUGGAGGUAAGGUGGGGAUGACGUCAAAUCAUCAUGCCCCUUAUGACCUGGGCUACACACGUGCUACAAUGGACAGAACAAAGGGCAGCGAAACCGCGAGGUUAAGCCAAUCCCACAAAUCUGUUCUCAGUUCGGAUCGCAGUCUGCAACUCGACUGCGUGAAGCUGGAAUCGCUAGUAAUCGCGGAUCAGCAUGCCGCGGUGAAUACGUUCCCGGGCCUUGUACACACCGCCCGUCACACCACGAGAGUUUGUAACACCCGAAGUCGGUGAGGUAACCUUUUAGGAGCCAGCCGCCGAAGGUGGGACAGAUGAUUGGGGUGAAGUCGUAAGC
This 361-nucleotide ribosomal RNA is filed under the name Bacillus amyloliquefaciens. Its description in RNAcentral is "bacterial SSU rRNA". It matches the Rfam family "Bacterial small subunit ribosomal RNA", at positions 1130 to 1492 of the family's 1533-position model. The record is from RNAcentral. Lineage: Bacteria; Bacillati; Bacillota; Bacilli; Caryophanales; Bacillaceae.